Molecule: ribosomal RNA, 465 nt
Filed under: Vreelandella stevensii
Lineage: Bacteria; Pseudomonadati; Pseudomonadota; Gammaproteobacteria; Oceanospirillales; Halomonadaceae
Description: partial 16S ribosomal RNA
Rfam family: Bacterial small subunit ribosomal RNA
Source: RNAcentral
CCUACGGGGGGCUGCAGUGGGGAAUAUUGGACAAUGGGCGAAAGCCUGAUCCAGCCAUGCCGCGUGUGUGAAGAAGGCCUUCGGGUUGUAAAGCACUUUCAGUGGGGAAGAAAGCCUUGGGGCUAAUACCCUCGAGGAAGGACAUCACCCACAGAAGAAGCACCGGCUAACUCCGUGCCAGCAGCCGCGGUAAUACGGAGGGUGCGAGCGUUAAUCGGAAUUACUGGGCGUAAAGCGCGCGUAGGCGGUCUGAUAAGCCGGUUGUGAAAGCCCCGGGCUCAACCUGGGAACGGCAUCCGGAACUGUCAGGCUAGAGUGCAGGAGAGGAAGGUAGAAUUCCCGGUGUAGCGGUGAAAUGCGUAGAGAUCGGGAGGAAUACCAGUGGCGAAGGCGGCCUUCUGGACUGACACUGACGCUGAGGUGCGAAAGCGUGGGUAGCAAACAGGAUUAGAUACCCUUGUCGUC